This 465-nucleotide ribosomal RNA is filed under the name uncultured bacterium. RNAcentral's name for it is "partial 16S ribosomal RNA". It matches the Rfam family "Bacterial small subunit ribosomal RNA", at positions 28 to 507 of the family's 1533-position model. The record is from RNAcentral.
GACGAACGCUGGCGGCGUGCUUAACACAUGCAAGUCGAACGGAAAAGCCCUGCUUGCAGGGUACUCGAGUGGCGAACGGGUGAGUAACACGCGGGUGAUCUGCCCUGCACUUCGGGAUAAGCCUGGGAAACUGGGGCUAAUACCGGAUAGGAGCCAUUUUUAGUGUGAUGGUUGGAAAGUUUUUUCGGUGUAGGCUGAGCUCGCGGCCUAUCAGCCUGUUGGUGGGGUAAUGGCCUACCAAGGCGGCGACGGGUAGCCGGCCUGAGAGGGUGGACGGCGACCUUGGGACUGAGGUACGGCCCAGACUCCUACGGGCGGCAGUGGUGGGGAAUAUUGCACAAUGGGCGCGAGCCUGAUGCAGCGGCGCCGCGUGGGGGAUGACGGCCUUCGGGUUGUAAACUCCUUUCGCUAGGGACGAAGCUUUUUGUGACGGUACCUAGAUAGGAAGCACCGGCUAACUACGUG